RNAcentral lists this ribosomal RNA (18 nucleotides) under Acacia victoriae. RNAcentral's name for it is "partial small subunit ribosomal RNA". The record is from RNAcentral. Lineage: Eukaryota; Viridiplantae; Streptophyta; Magnoliopsida; Fabales; Fabaceae.
UUGGGGGGAAGAUCAUUG